UACGGAGGGUGCAAGCGUUAUCCGGAUUCACUGGGUUUAAAGGGUGCGUAGGCGGAUUCUUAAGUCCGUGGUGAAAUCUCCAAGCUUAACUUGGAAACUGCCAUGGAUACUAUUAGUCUUGAAUGUUGUGGAGGUUAGCGGAAUAUGUCAUGUAGCGGUGAAAUGCAUAGAUAUCGUCAAGAACACCGAUAGCGAAGGCAGCUUACUGGGCUGUAACUGACGCUGAUGCACGAAAGUGUGGGGAUCAAACAGG
This 253-nucleotide ribosomal RNA is filed under the name uncultured bacterium. RNAcentral's name for it is "partial 16S ribosomal RNA". It matches the Rfam family "Bacterial small subunit ribosomal RNA", at positions 524 to 776 of the family's 1533-position model. The record is from RNAcentral.